UAAAGGGAGUUUCUUUAGUUAACGUGGCGCAGUAAACACGUGGCUGCCCUGCAGGAGCAGAACCCACUGUUCGGUUUUGGCUGUUCUUAUAUAGAAUUUCGUUUUUUCAUUGUGAUUUGAUCAAUCGACACAUUUUCAGAAAGUUGUGUAAUGAUUUUAGAGGAACCAUUUCUAGACACCACUAUUGUUCCUUUUGUUUAACGGUUUAACACGUGGACUGUAGAGCUACACCCAUCAUGGUUUAGACUGAAAGAUGACAAAAAAAGUAUUGCUGAUGGUGUCUGCAUAAAAAUGUCUCCACUGGAUGAAUUCAAUCCAACGAUGAUGGAAUAAUCCUGGGAUUAUAAUCUCUGUGGAGCAGCUGCUUGGAAGUCGAUAGAAGAUCACAGCUCAUUGAGAGACUUUGCUGAAGGAAUACAACAAUUGGAAUUCAAAUCAAGCUUUCCCAGAAUCAACAAAACGUGCCUAUGCAACAUUUGAAUGCAUCUCAUCUGUAGAAUUGACCUUUGUAUUUGAGUUAUUUUCCAAAAUAAAGUCUGAAUUGUGAAUAAA
This is a long non-coding RNA of Cyprinodon tularosa, 552 nucleotides long. RefSeq lists it as uncharacterized. Lineage: Eukaryota; Metazoa; Chordata; Actinopteri; Cyprinodontiformes; Cyprinodontidae. The transcript is spliced from 4 exons. The record is from RefSeq and is a predicted model, not a curated record.